Molecule: ribosomal RNA, 1338 nt
Filed under: Triticum aestivum (bread wheat)
Lineage: Eukaryota; Viridiplantae; Streptophyta; Magnoliopsida; Poales; Poaceae
Description: partial small subunit ribosomal RNA
Source: RNAcentral
AUGGUACGUAUAGAUGAGUUGAAACCAACUCAAAGUAACCCGCGAGCACACACAACAAACCGAAUAGAUCAGUCGUCUUCGGAGCCAGUGCAAGCAAACAUGCAACCGCAGCAGGACGCCGCCGAGGACGUGGUCAUUGUCGGCGCCGGCCUCGCCGGUGUCGGUGUCGCCCUGGGACUCCACAGGAAGGGCGUGCGGAGCAUGGUGCUGGAGUCGUCGCCGGCGCUCCGGACGUCCGGCUUCGCGUUCAUGACAUGGACCAACGCCUUCCGCGCGCUUGACGCCCUCGGCGUCGGCGACAAGAUGAGGAGCCACCACCUGCAGGUUCAGGGGGUGCGCGUCAUGUCUCCGACUACCGGGGAAGUGGUGCGAGAGCUGGAUCUCCGAGUGCAAGGCAAACUGGGACCCCACGAAGCCCGGUGCGUGCAGCGUAACGUGCUCCUCCAGGCGCUGGAGGAAGAGCUUCCGGCAGGCACCAUCCGCUACUCCUCCAGGAUCGUCUCCAUCGACGACGACAAAGAAAAAGAAGGCGGCGGCGAUGCCAAGAUCCUGCAUCUCGCCGACGGCUCGACGCUCCGAGCAAAGGUGCUGAUCGGCUGCGACGGGAUCAACUCGGUGGUGGCGAAAUGGCUGGGGCUCGCCAAGCCGCUCGACUCAGGGCGCAGGGCCACGCGGGGGCACGCCAAGUACCCCGACGGCCACGGCUUCCAGCCCAAGUUCAUGCAGUUCAGCGGCAACGGCUUCCGUGCCGGCCUGGUGCCCUGCGGCGACACGGACGUGUACUGGUUCCUGACGUGGUCGCCUUCCUGUCCGGACGGCACGGAGGACGUCGACCCGAGCCCGGCGGAGAUGAAGCAAUUCGUGCUGGCCAAGCUGAGGAGCAUCAAGGCCCCCGCCGAGGUGCUGGAAGCGGUCGAGAGGAGCGAGAUGAACGACGUGCUCGUGGCGCCGCUGCGGUACCGCCCGCCGCUGUCGCUCCUCUUCGGGAGCAUCAGCAAGGGGAACGUGUGCGUCGCCGGCGACGCGCUCCACCCCACGACGCCGGACCUGGCGCAGGGCGCGUGCAUCGCGCUGGAGGACGCCGUCGUCCUCGCGCGGUGCCUCGGCGACGCCAUGGCCGGCGACGGCGACGGCACUGAGACGGUCGAGGAGGCUCUGCGCCGGUACGCCGGGAUCCGGCGGUGGAGGAGCGCGCAGGUGAUCGCGGCGUCCUACAUGGUGGGGCGUGUGCAGCAGAGCGAGCACGCCGUGGUGAGAUUCGCGCGGGACAGGGUGCUGUCAGGGGUGCUCGCCAAGGGGCUCCUCAUGAUGCCGGACUACGACUGUGGCACGCUUUGA